RNAcentral lists this ribosomal RNA (305 nucleotides) under uncultured bacterium. Its description in RNAcentral is "bacterial SSU rRNA". It matches the Rfam family "Bacterial small subunit ribosomal RNA", at positions 335 to 639 of the family's 1533-position model. The record is from RNAcentral.
AAUCCUACGGGAGGCAGCAGUGAGGAAUAUUGGUCAAUGGGCGAGAGCCUGAACCAGCCAAGUCGCGUGAGGGAGUACUGCCCUAUGGGUUGUAAACCUCUUUUGUCGGGGAGCAAAAGCCGGACGUGUCCGGCUGUGAGAGUACCCGAAGAAAAAGCAUCGGCUAACUCCGUGCCAGCAGCCGCGGUAAUACGGAGGAUGCGAGCGUUAUCCGGAUUUAUUGGGUUUAAAGGGUGCGUAGGCGGGACCUUAAGUCAGCGGUAAAAUUGCGGUGCUCAACGCCGUAGAGCCGUUGAAACUGGGGU